Molecule: non-coding RNA, 110 nt
Filed under: Bacillus methanolicus
Lineage: Bacteria; Bacillati; Bacillota; Bacilli; Caryophanales; Bacillaceae
Also listed under: 1 other name
Description: TPP sequence
Rfam family: TPP riboswitch aptamer (THI element)
About the family: Vitamin B(1) in its active form thiamin pyrophosphate (TPP) is an essential coenzyme that is synthesised by coupling of pyrimidine and thiazole moieties in bacteria.
Source: RNAcentral
GAAUAGUUUACCGGGAGCCUGCGGAAGCAGGCUGAGAGUGCGUCUAUUCCGUCGCAGACCGUUUGAACCUGUUGGAUAAUGCCAGCGUAGGGAAAAGUGCUGAGGAAAUU